Molecule: long non-coding RNA, 2302 nt
Organism: Carlito syrichta (Philippine tarsier)
Lineage: Eukaryota; Metazoa; Chordata; Mammalia; Primates; Tarsiidae
Exons: 9
Source: RefSeq, a predicted model, not a curated record
UGUUCUUGUCAUACAGAUAACCUAAUGAAUGUCUAAUGAGAGUUCUUAUAACUGCUUGUACCAAAAUUUUCCACUGGGAAAAUUUUGCUUCAUAACUUCCCUAAUUUCCCCUGUACUUUGUAGACUGGAUGACACAGAAUUCCAUGGAAUUUCACUGCUGAACCAGUAAAGUGCUGAUGUUGUCAUUUGUACUAGUUAACUUUUUUGGGAAGAAAGAACAUAAUACACUCCUUAGGAUAAUAUGGACCAAGAAUUGGGCUUCAUAUGGAUGAAUUUAUUUUUUCUUGUGUUGAGACAUUUAGGAAAAGUAUAGAGAAUAAUCCCAUCCUGAAAAGUCAGUGGGAAUUCUAAUAUUGAUUAAGGAUAAUAUUGGAACUGCUUGGAAUUCUUACCACUGCUCCAAUGAACUGCUGAUUUUGUCAUAUGCACCAGAUCUCAGGCAGUGAGCAGAAAAAUGCACUUCAGAGGUCAAUGUAGAUCAAGAAGUAGACUUCAUGUAAAAGAGUUUAUUCCUGACCGUGUUUGGUGGCUCAGCUUGUAAUUCCACACCUUGGGAGGCUGAGAUCAGAAGUGAUACUAGUGGAAAGGAACGAUUUUCUGCUUGGAAUUCUGACCCCCCCGCCCAACAAAGAAGGGCUGUUUUUGUCAUUUGCAGCAGUUUCUUUCUCUGACAUACUGUCUACCCCCAGGACCUAUGAUGAUAGAUCCUAGAAGGGAAGGGAACCUGUCCAUGCCCUUGCCUUGACUCUUGAAUGUUAGUUACAGAUGAGCAGCUGACAACUUACUUCCCAGUCAGUGGUUCUCCAUUCCUAUGAAUGAUCUCUUGGACACCCUUUUAGUAGACACCUAUCUGAGAAUUCUUCUGAGAGAGAAUGAUACCAAUAAAUCCCUGAAACAGGACUCCUCAGACAAGAGCCUCUUCACCUACCUAUAUUCCAAGAGCUACCACUGAAGGUGAUGACCACAAAGACGAGAUGCAUUGUUAGAGUUGGUGCCAUUCCUUCUACCACCAGCUUCACCAAAACAAUGAUACAGUCUUCCUUAUGUAUGGAGACUCCUCUCUUUCCUGGUUUGCAGCGGAUACCUCCUGCAGAUAAGAAAUGCUUAACUGAGAAAUGCUCAUGUUGCGAUAUCAUCGAUGAGACUUUAAUUUGGGCAUGGUGACUGUUUCCCUUGCUGCCACUUGACUCAAUCCCAGGAGCCUCCUCAGUAGAGGAUAUAAUAUUACACAAGAUGCUCAAAAUGGUGGAAUUGCUCAGUGCUCCCAUAAAUAUACAUUUACAAUUUUCAUUUGCCACAUGAUAAACUGAAAAAAAUAGAAUAUUUAAAAAAGAAACUCUGCAUGAUUUUUUCAAAAAUUCAAAACAUAUUUACAUAACAUAUAUAAAUUAAAUGUCUUUUCUUUCAAAUCUGUCCCUAUAGUUUUUCUCUAUUAAGGGAGUUGUGUGCAUUCUUUUAGUGGAUAGGUGCACACAAACACACACAAACUAUUUUGGGGACGGGGAACUGCGAGUGUGGUCAUAUUGUAACAUAUUUUCCUGCAAAAUGCCUUUCAGUGGUCUUUUCAAUGGUCUUUUUCUUUUUCAGUAAUGCAUACACAUUUGUGUCAUUUGUUGAAUGACAGCAUGACUGAUUUGUAGAUGAAAUAUAAUUAAAUGUUUUAAACAUUUAUUAUUCAUAGUUAUUUAUGUUAGUACCAAAUUUCUGUGCAAUGAACCUCCCUAUAUAUUAAUAAUUUGCAUUUGUCUAUUAUAAUAAAUUACUUAGUAGUUGCUUUACUGGAAUUCAGUAUAUGCACACUUCAAAUUUUGAAAAUUAUUGCACAAUUUUCUUUUAAAAUGUGGUUAACUUUAUCCUCAAAUGGCAACGAAUGAUAUUGCCACCUUCCCUGCAACUUCACAGACAAUGGAUUUUACAAAUAUUUACAAUUUUUGCCAAUGUGAUCACCUAAGCUAUUGUCUUAAAUUGUAUUCCUUUUGUUUUUGAGUUUGAUCAUUUUUCAUAUGUUUAUUAGUCAUCUGUAUUUUUUAAUUUCCUCUUUAUGUCCAAUUUUGUGGGUGGGAGGAGGUUUUAGUCUCUUCUUGAUUUUGAAGAGGUCAUUUACUAAUUGGGGAAAUAAGCUUUGAAUUGUGAAGCACUGCAGAUAUUUUUUACACACUUUUAAACUUUGUUUUUGUUAUAAGAAUGUGUAUGAUUGUUAUAUGUCCAAGUAUAACCAUGUUUGCUUUUAUGGCUUCUGAGUUUCAUGUCAUUUUUGGAAAGAUAUUUAUACUGAGUCCAUAAAAUCCUUCACCUAUGUUAA